RNAcentral lists this ribosomal RNA (417 nucleotides) under uncultured Methanosaeta sp. RNAcentral describes it as "bacterial SSU rRNA". It matches the Rfam family "Archaeal small subunit ribosomal RNA", at positions 330 to 747 of the family's 1478-position model. The record is from RNAcentral. Lineage: Archaea; Methanobacteriati; Methanobacteriota; Methanomicrobia; Methanotrichales; Methanotrichaceae.
GUGCACCAGGCGAGAAAACUUUACAAUGCGGGCAACCGCGAUAAGGGGACCUCGAGUGCUGGGUUACAAACCUGGCUGUUGGGCUGCCUAAAAAGCAGUCUAUAGCAAGGGCCGGGCAAGACCGGUGCCAGCCGCCGCGGUAACACCGGCGGCUCGAGUGGUAACCGCUAUUAUUGGGUCUAAAGGGUCUGUAGCCGGCCGACUAAGUCUCUUGGGAAAUCUGGCAUCUCAAGUGUCAGGCUGCCAGGGGAUACUGGUCGGCUUGGGACCGGGAGAGGUGAGAGGUACCUCGGGGGUAGGGGUGAAAUCUUGUAAUCCUCGAGGGACCACCAGUGGCGAAGGCGUCUCACCAGAACGGAUCCGACGGCAAGGGACGAAAGCUAGGGGCACGAACCGGAUUAGAUACCCGCGUAGUCC